This is a long non-coding RNA of Solanum tuberosum (potato), 251 nucleotides long. RefSeq lists it as uncharacterized. The transcript is spliced from 2 exons. NCBI's taxonomy places the organism in Eukaryota, Viridiplantae, Streptophyta, Magnoliopsida, Solanales, Solanaceae. The record is from RefSeq and is a predicted model, not a curated record.
UUUCAACUCAAAUGCACAAUCAACUUGCUUGUCAGCACAUUCAUCGGAAGAAGACAAAAUUUUGGGCUAAUCAAGAUCAAGAAAUCGAGCAUGUUACUUCAUCAUUUAUCAUGAUGUUGCAAACAUGAGCUUGUGCAGACCUAUGAGAUAAAUUAUCCUCCAUUGUUCUUCUUGGUUGUGAAUAAAAAUAACAUAUACAAUUGUAAGAGACAAGACAUUGAAUCCUUUCUAUUAAAGACUUCAUACUUUUA